This is a long non-coding RNA of Pongo pygmaeus (Bornean orangutan), 5497 nucleotides long. RefSeq lists it as uncharacterized. NCBI's taxonomy places the organism in Eukaryota, Metazoa, Chordata, Mammalia, Primates, Hominidae. The record is from RefSeq and is a predicted model, not a curated record. The transcript has 11 exons.
UGAGGUUGCGGGGAUGAGCACCAUGGCCUGGAAAAGGCGGUUCUCAAUGCAGAAAGAAGAGGGACCUGGUUGGGUGGGUGGGAGGAAGGCGUGAGUCUGAAAGGGUUGCAGAUGCAUGCUCCCUGGCAUCCUCACGUGCGAUGCCAGGUGGAGGCUCCCUUCCCCCUAUUUCCUGGUCCCGCUCAAUUUCCUUGCCACUUGUCCACCAAGAAGAAAUUUUCCUGGGUCAAGAAUAUUUCCAAGCGAUUUUGUCCCGGUCACAUGAGAUGUGUAGAUUGCACGCGCAUUUCUAGCCUUUCCCCUCAGCAGCUAGCCCAGGUCUCCUCAGUUUCCUCCAGAAACCCACUCUCUUCUGCUCAAAAAUAAAUCCGCUAAUGCAUCCCUUACCACCACGGUUCUAUUUACUGAGAAAUCUUACAUUUCGAUACCUCCCAAAAUUCACCAAGCGUGGGCACUUGGUUACAACUUUGCAUACCUGAAAAUAAAAUAGAAAACUUGCCUCCAGUAAGCAUGCGAGAGCGAGGGCAGGGCUUUGAAACUUCCACUUGCUUGGCGGGCGACAGGGUCCGCUGGGGGCAGAGUCGUUUACACACAAGUGAGCGGCGCUGUAAUGAGCAGGAGGAACAGUCAUGUCCCAUCUGGGACCUGUCGCAUCAGGAGAAUAUCUGCAGUCACCUAUUCCGCCCGGGGCCCCAAAUGCGCCACCAGCAGUGUCGCCCCGUUUUUUCAUUGUCUCAGGUGUCCAGAGGAUGAUGACCAGGUCUUUGAAGUUGUUAAUGGGAUUAAUGGGUACAGCAAACUGGGCUAGACAUCUGGUUUGAAUUAGGAAAAAGUAUUGAUUAAUCUUUGAGAGGUGUCCCCAAAGCAGAACCUUUCCCUCCUCUUCCAGUCCCCCUGCUUAAGCCUCCCUAUCUUCUUUUCUUUUAAGUCACACUGCAGAAUAGUGGCUUCGCAAUAACAUCCGUGUGAAAGAUCGAAUUGUUUUCUAUUGCUUAGAGGUGGGGUGGAGUGGGGGUUGAUCAGGAAUUCUGAGAUUUGUAAGCGCUGCUUUCUUUAACGGAAAUUGAGCUCUAUUUUGAGGGAAAUUAGUUUUGCAGACUUCGUUUAAAAAAAAAAAAAAAAAACCAAAACUUUUGUUCACCAGCUGCUCAGCUUUUCAGUCUGGGUCUGAGCUGAAACUUGCUGCAAGUCUGACGUUAAUGAUGCGAUUUGAUCAAAGUUGAAAUUUUGGAUUUUAAGAUCUGAUCAUACCUUCAUCAGAUAGACCCCACCAGGCAAAGGGCUCAGGCCCAGGUAGCACCACUUGGAAUCCUUCCAGAACCAAAGACAAGCACGUACCAAAUUACAUAUAUAUCUGUCAAAAUGAUGUAGGACCUAAAGUCUCUCUGUAAGUUGAUCCUUUUGACCCCAUGAUUAGGAGCUUCACAAUGUGGUACCACACCUGGAAACCUCCAGAACAAGAUCUCAAGGAAACACAGGAAAUUCCUGAAACAGCAAAACCCCCUAUGUGAAGACGUCUGUUAUUCCUUUGUGUAUCAGGAGCAUCACUGUCAAUUAACUGUUGAUACACUUAAAACACCUUGGUUGGCAAUGUCCUUUUUGAAAAAAGAAGAGCCAGGUGUGUUUUUCAGGAUGAACUAGACAAUGCUGUCACAAGUUUACCUCAAAAAUGUCCUGCAUAUCGUGGCAGUGGUUGGCUCUCCAGGCAGCAGUUGGCGCUGUGAAUCAGUCAUCUCAGCAUGUGUCUCCAACAUCCCACAGCAGGGGAAAAAAGAGGUGGAGGGUCACAUGCCUGGUGUUAUAUACUUUGAGGCAGAGGUGGUAGGUGCCACUUCUGCUCACAGCUCAGGGACCAGAACAAAGCCAUGCAUACCUGAGAGAGGACCAGAAAAUAUUCUGAAGCACAUGGCUAUUUGAGACAAGAUCUUCCUCUGUCUGGGGUGAAGUGGUGCAAUCAUAGCUCACUGCAGCUUCAGACUCCUGAGCUCAAGUGAUCCUCCUGCCUCAGCCUCCCUGGUAGCUGGGACUACAGCAGGCUGUGAAGGCACAAGUCAGUUACAUGAAGAAGUGGACCAAAUGUCCCAGGUCUCCGCUCCUGCUACCCUGGCUUCUCUCUCUCAGCCUGCACCUGUGGUCUCAUGGAGUUCCCAAUGAUCACUUGACGGAAGAAGAGAAGACUAGGGCCUGGUUACAAGAUGUUCUGUGUAAUACUGAGGCAUCACCCUAAAGGGGACAGCUGCAGCAAAAAUAGAACAAAAAGGUUUCGAAAGGGCACAUUUGCUCACUGAGCUGGGACAUGUAUUGUCUCCUGCCCUUGGACAUCAGCACUCCUGGUUCGCAGGCCUUUGGACUUUGACGAGGAUUUCCAUCAUGGCUUCUCCUUGUUCUCAGGUCUUUUGACUCAGACGUCUUACGCCAUUGGCUUUCCUGCUUCUCCAGCUGGCAGAUCCUGGGACUUCUUGGCCUCCAUAAUCAUGAAAAGAAGAGAUGGAAGGAAACUGUUGCUUCAUUUUCUGUUCAUGGAAGGGGGGAGAGAGAAUAUCUGAGUUGGAUGGGAGCAGGCACAGACAGCAGAAGCUAAGAACAUUCCUCACCAGACUGCAAAUAUGAAACUUGUUUUUGAAUUGCUGAGAAAAGAGGAAGGAAUGUUUUUAUAUGUAACAAUAAAUCACAUCCUGACAGCGCCAUCUACCAGUCACAGUUCAAACUGCAAGGGAAAACAGAGUUCUAAAACAAAGCUUCUGAUUAAGCAGAAAAAUUACUUGAGCAUUUUGAAAUAAAUGUCCUUUUGGGGCCCAAGAUGUCUACCACCCAGCUGGAAAAGCAGGAAAGACCAUGUAAACUUGAGAACCAGUGCAAGUGGUGAGGCUGAGGAGCAAGCAUGUUUCCAAGAUGAAGCACAAAUGCUUUUAUGGCUUCCAGGGCAGGGGAUGCUGCAUGCUCAAUGCAUACGUUCUAUUCAAAUGUGGAAUGAAUGAUGAAAAGAUGGUUCUUUCCUUGUAUGUUAUUUUGGAUAUGUGGCUGGUCAAAGACUCCUAUAAGGACCAAUAAAAAGGAAGAGUUCAUCUGUUCCACAGUAUCAGCUUACUGAGCAACGUUAUCCAGGGAGCCCUAUACCUCUGGCCCUUGCUGAUUAGACAAGAAUAAGCAUUUGGUUAUUUGUGACAAACCUGAUUUUUUUCCAGUGAUUCAUACUAAUAGUGCCAGAGAUAUUCUGAGUGAUUCAAAGAAACCAUUUAGCUUUGGAUUGACAAAUUUCCAGGGGAGGAUUUUCACCUAAAAGAACAGACUGUGGAAAGACCUACGGGCUUAUGUGAUGAAGGAAAAACAAAGAGAAAUCAAAAGAUGAGGAAAGAACUUGAAAGUUAAAUUCUGUGUUACUUCAUAUCCGUAAGUGAUUUCUUCUAUAUAAUUUACACUGUAAUAUUCUUUAAAUGAACAAAAAUAUUAUGUAUAUUUGUAAAAGGCCCUAUGCAUACACUGGUAAGAAAUGUGUUAAAAAUGAAAGAAAAAUGCUGACAUGCCUAGGAAUGAUUAUGAUAAUGAUAACGAUUGUAAAUAUUAUGGGCCAGACACUCUACCAAUACAACAAAAAUAACGGCAAUAAACUUUACAUGGAUGAUAACAUUGAAUUCUAACAACAGUUUUAUGAAUUUAGAAAUGUUAUGUCUAUUUUAUGAAUAAGGAAACCUAGACUUAGAGCAGUUAAAUCACAGUCCAAAGUUAUACAGCUGUAAUAUGGUGGAUUCAAAUUGCAAAAUCAACUGAGUAUUGUUUUAGAGUCCACGAUCUUAAGCACUCUGCUUUAAUAUACUUAGAGGAAAACUUUCCUCAAUUUCUGGAGAUGAAGAAAUGGAAAAUUAUCCAAGCUAGUGGCAAUGCAAACCAUCUGAGAAAGGAGAGUCUGGGAGUGUGACUGUCUGAGACACAUCAUUUCAUCCCAGCUGGUGCUCUCGGGAAGAAUUAGGACUUUGUAAGAAAUACUUAAUUUGAAAAAGAUUAUCUUAACACUUCUGUGGAAGGUCGACCAGAAAAAAGAAGAUACAUGAUAAGACUAUUUUAGUAAUUAAAAUGAAAUGAAAAUGUCCAGUUUGGGGUUAUAAUGAUCAAGGUUUAUAGAAGCUGGUAAAGGAGAAAAAUUGUUACAGAUCAUUUAAAAUUUUGAGUCUGGUGGACUGAAAAAAUAAUGAUGCCAUUGGGAGCAAAAGUAAAAUUAUAAAGUGUCUGUUUUUUGAUGAGGGAAAAAAUAUAUUUCACUGGUGGUAUAAUCAAGCUGUGAGCAAAGAUGUGAGAUAGAUCUUUUCUUAUUCAAGUGAAUUAUCUUCCUGUUCUGUUCUAGUCAGGCUUUCUGAGUGUGCAGGUCAGCAUCUUAACCUCAAAUUAUUCUUUUAGCUCAUCUUAUUGUGGUGUUUGUCUUGUUCUUUGAGACUGUGUCUUCUCAUCUCAUAUCCAUUCUUCAUUAGCUGGAUAGUACACUAUCUUAUAUGCUGAUAUCCUGUCUUGUAUCUCAAAAAGAUCCAUGGUUAUGGAGGCCAGUAGCUUAACCCAGUGGUUGGAGAUUCUAACUAGUAGUAGCUCUUCGGUGCCAACUUUAUACAUACUUGGAUUUUGACUUACUGACUGAUACGCACAAUUCUUGUAGUGUCAUAUUGUUUACCUUCCAAUAUGUCAGCUUGAUAACUUUCCUCAAAUAACCUUGAUUCUCAAAGGAACAUCAUCAUAGAUGUCUACCAAGUUUCCAAAGAUCAGCCAUUUCCAGUGGAGCAGAUUGUACUCGGGCCAUAGUCCAAAUACUUAUUUUCUUUAAUUCCCCUGUAUAUUCAUUAUGCCUUGAUGUUAUUUAAUAGAUCAGAUAUAUUUAUUACACAUUUGCAUAUAUAUUAAUACACAUGUGCACUCUGAUCUAUUUAUUAUGUUUAUUAAUUACUUUCUUUGUUUACCAAAAUUGGAAUCAUGCUACAAAUAUUGGUGUGUUUUUUAAAUUUUUAUCCACUUACUCAAUUAUCAUAUGUACCAUUUUAGGUUAGUACCUCAUUCUUUUUAAUAGUUUUAUAGUAAUUUUUAAAUAUAGGUACUAUAAUUCUUUAUCUCAUUUUAUUGUUUAUUGAUAUUGAGCCUGCAAAUAACAUUUAUAAUGAAUAUCAUUUAUGCAUAAGUGUCUCUGAUUGCAUGUGUAUGUGCUGUAGAGGUUAGACUAAUGUAACUAAAGAAUAGAUUCUUAGAUUUUCGAUUUCUGGGGGAAAGAGAGGACAAUCUUAAAAGUAUAUACAUAUUCCCAGUUUACUCUCCAAAACCCAUAUCUACUCACACCAAAUAUUUAUGACUAUACACUCUGCCCCACCUUUGCCCACACCAAAUAUGUCAAAUCUUUUUAUUUAAGUAGCUAGGUAAAUAGUAUAACUUUAUUUUAUUAGAUUAAUGAAGUUGAACAUCUUUUUAUGUGUUUGCUGGCCAUUUAUAUGUCUUCUAAUGUCAAGUUGAACUCUUAUUUUCUUUA